GUGCCCGUAGCUCAAUUGGAUAGAGCGUCUGCCUCCGGAGCAGAAGGUUGGCGGUUCAAGUCCGCCCGGGCACA
Molecule: transfer RNA, 74 nt
Filed under: Pseudomonadota bacterium
Lineage: Bacteria; Pseudomonadati; Pseudomonadota
Also listed under: 2 other names
Description: tRNA-Arg
Rfam family: tRNA
About the family: Transfer RNA (tRNA) molecules are approximately 80 nucleotides in length. Their secondary structure includes four short double-helical elements and three loops (D, anti-codon, and T loops).
Source: RNAcentral